GUGCUCACUUUGGCAGCACAUAUACUAAAAUUGGAAUGAUACAGAGAUUAGCAUGGCCCCUGGGCAAGGAAGACAUGCAAAUUCGUGAAGUUUAUAGAGCUGUC
Molecule: small nuclear RNA, 104 nt
Filed under: Octodon degus (degu)
Lineage: Eukaryota; Metazoa; Chordata; Mammalia; Rodentia; Octodontidae
Source: RNAcentral